AAAACAAUGCAAAUCUUUGACCUCAUGAAUUUUCCAAUCAAAGUACAUGUCACAGAUUACAAUUUAGGCACAUCAAGCUCGGCACAAAGGAAUAGGCCAGGUAAUGUUUAAUAGAUCAGGAUUAAGUAGCACAUAGGGCAGCAAGACAGUACAAAUUAUUGAAAGUGAAGCAUUUACACAGGAGGCUAUUGACAAUCAGAUAGCAGUCCUUCGCCAAGGACGGUUGAAGUUCCUCAUCGCUCAAAGAAAAGGUCGCUCAAAGAAAAACUGAGUAGCAUUGGCCUGAAAGUGAAGAAAAAACCAUAUUCCUGGAGAAGAUAUCUCAACAUUUUUACAACAAUAGAUAUCUACAGUGACCAAAAAGGAACUAUCAAGAAGGCAAGAUUAGUAAACUGACAUCAAGCAACUCAUGUAUGUUUCCUUUAAAUUUGUUUGGGGAGUGGUAGAAAAUGCAGCCGAAACUACCAAGAGAAUCGAGAUGGUUUAGUACGACAUAACACAAGCAGGACAUAGUAGUAGUUUGAGCCAAUCUAAGAGCACUAUUUUAAUAUGGCAUAGCAAUAUAAACUUCAUCGAAACAUCUUGCCAUCUAGAUAACUGGUCAUCAGGGCUGAAGCAAAUGAUUCUCGACGUCAAUCGACCAUGUAGAGUCGUGCAUGAAGAAGGCAUUGUCAUUUAUCAGUAAGAGGUUAGUCAGCAAAUAUGCCACCUAAAGACGUACAUCAUGAAGAAAACGGGUCGAUAUUAGGUGCACGUAAAAUGUGUCAAAUAGAUAUAAGAACAAACGACUCUACAUGUUGAAGUAUAACUGGGGCAGCUGGGUUAAAAACAUGACGACAACUGCGACCAACUCAAUCAGGAAACUAAUACCUAUAAAGGGAAAUGAAGGCAUGUCUCAAGAGAUAUAAGGAACAAAGUUUGUUAUCUAUAUUGAAUGAAAAAGAUCAAUGUAAACUCGCCAUGAAAUGAAUCCAAAUAUAUGGGGCUCCAUGGGCAAACAACACCUUUGUUGCUUCAUGCUGAACUACUUUAUGUAAGAGAAAAUUUUAAGCUUUAGUGGCCAGCAAGCAGGCAGGUGAAGUGUCAUAUUAGUAAAUGUGCAAAAGGUUAUCUAUUGAAUACCAUGUGAAUGGAACAUGUCUGCCUUGCAUACAAUUUGGAGACUAAAGAGGCAAACAACCCAAAUAGGCACAUUACUUAUAAUUAGGACAAUAAAUUUGCGUGCUUUGGCCGUCACUGAUUCCAUACAUAUAACUCAAAAAAGGAAUAAUGCCACAGUUUGGGUUACGGAUUCUUGAAAAUCAGCUUCGGCUUGGAUUCUAAGAAUCAGCUGCAGCUGCAGAUUCCGAAAAUCUGACGUUGUGGGUAUCGCCGCCCGAGCUUGGGGCGUGGUGCGAUGCAGGUCAGGCAUGGUGCAGCUGGUCCUUGGGGGAGAGCGGACGGAGCUGUGGAUGGCGCAAACAGAGGAUAGUGACUCGAAGAGCGGACGCAGCCGACGGAGCUUGCCAUUAGCUUGGGCGUGGCCGGAGGUCAGGGAGGAGCAAAGGCGCUCAGAUCCAUUCGCUUGGUAGUGGCCGGAGGUUGGGGAUGGGUAGAGGCCUUGUUUGGUUCAGCUUUUAUCGAUGGAUUCCGCUGCCGUGCAGUAGAAUCUGAACCAAAGGGCGAACCCAGCAGAAUCCGAUUUAAGAAAUCCGCUGCCAAAAUCUGAACCAAAAGCGGAAGCAGCCCGGGACGUGCUUUUCAAAAUCUAAUUCCGCUGCGGGCCAAAAUCUAAAAAAGUUGUAUCAGCUGGUUUGCCAAAUGACCUACAUCUUCUUCACAUCAGAUUUUCCACAGCUGUUUUUCCAAAGCAGAUUUUUCACAACUGCUUUUAGAAAUCAACAGCCGAACCAAACAGGGCCAGAGAGGUUGGACGAACUUCGGGCAGGUACGGAUGCGGCAGACCCAUCCGCUUAGGAACCGCCGGGGCCGACGCUCAUGGAGCCGCCGGAACCUGACCACCACGAGUGUCAUUGAGGGAAAGGCCAACGCAGAGGAUGGGGGCGGGGCGCGCGCGCGGAGCUUGCGGUACUCCCUCACGCCGCCGCCGCCGUGCUCCACCCGAUCCUCCAGCUGCAAUAGGCGCGCCUCCCCGUUGAUGUUAUUGCCGUCGCGGUCGCUAUGGGGACGAGGGGAUUUGGGUGUCGUUGACCUGGGCUGCGGGUGGAUACUGGAUGAGGCUGCGGUGGCAGUUUUGUUGUAGUUUCGAGCGAAAAUAGGGGCAAGGGCACAAAACGAAUCGUUUUGAAUCUGCUGAAUCGCCAAAAUCGCUGCUUCCGGAUUCCUUGCGCUGGUAGUUCAUUUUUGGAAUCGGAUUCUAGGAAGCAACACAGGAAUCCGGCGUGUUUAGAAGCCUAGAAUCUGAGAAUCAGAAGCUGUAGCCCAAACAAAGGCCAACUUAGUAGGAAAGGUGAGCAGGGAAGCAUUCUAGUCAGGUAACCGGUGGUCUGACUGAACAAUUUUACGAAGUGAGGAACUGAGGAACCGAUCCUUUGGUUCGGAACCCUCUCUUACUAUUUUCGUCAAGGCACAUAGAGAACUAAAAUGCAGCUAUUAUUAAAUUCCCCACCAGCCACAAUGGCAACUACAGUUGGCCGCCUAUAUGAACCAGUUAAUAGUCACUAAAAUAUCAUGUAUCCACAACAAACCAAGAAAGAGAUACCUCCAAAUGGAGGAGGCAAUGUCAACAAGACAGUUCAAAGGAAAUAACACAUCAAUACUACUAAGAAAACGAAGAUUGGUAACUGCAAUGCAUCUAUUGCAGUAGUACAUUGAGCACCUGAGACAGUAACCGAAUCCGAAGGAGCAGUAGCCACGCACCCAGCAACGACCCUGGCACCAAACUCUAACCUGGCAGUACUAUAAAACACAUUGACACUCAAUUCACAGCACAUAAAUAAUUAAUGCAUAGUCAUAAGUCAAAGAUAUAUUUCACAAUGUUACCAAAGCCAUUUUCAGAAGCAAAUACCAGCACUUUAAAUAUACUGGAACUAAAAUAAACCAAAACUAAAAAAACUACUAACUAAUGUGGUCGAAAAACACCAGAUACUGAUCAAUGAUAUGUACCCACCUUAUUUUACUAAAUCUUCCACUACCAAAUGUGAUGUUAAAUAUCAAUUGAUAAUUACUCAUUUGUAUCUGCAAAGAAGUAUCAUGCUAAAAAUGAAAUACCAGAUCAGUUAGAGAACACAAUUAUGCAAAAUACUAAUAAGAAAUCUGUAAAUAUUGUAAUCAGUAUAUUUUUAAAAUAAAGCAAAUGCGCCCAUCUUAUCUUUCUUAUGUAGGUCAUGCCAGUUUUAAGCGAACUCUUAACUUCAUUCACAAAUUAUCUUAUACACGAAAAGAAAGAUUGCAUCCACAUAUCUAAAUUAAGCUCAAUGCUUUCGACAGAUGGAUUCUUCUUAUGUAACAGUACAACCCAACCACUGAGGAUCCAAUGCACAACAAGGCAGAACGGAAAAAUCAAGGAAAUUGUACAACAAACAUUAACAGGGGCCAACAAUAUAACAACAGGGGGGAAAGCACUACAACCUGACCAUUAGUACUAUCGAUGGCAAUGACCAUGGCCUCAAGGACAUGAAUAGAAUCAAACAUCGAGCGAAAUAGAAAAUCCCCGAAGCAAGAAGAUUAAUAUUGACUCGCACAUCUUACUGCCGCCUUUCUCGUGCUUCAUGCCUAGCAACAAUUCCUAGCAGUUAUUUUCCAGAAACCAUCUUGUUAUUAUAGAAAACCCCAAAGACUGCAAAAGUACAAGCAGAACACAAGAAUGUGAAUGAAGUUACAAAAUUUAUAUACAUUCAUGCCAUUUAACUAAGAAAACAUGAUCAAUCAUACCAGAAGGAGCCAAUUAAAGUCAAUAUAAAGUACAAAAGACUGUCAUUAUUUAAGAUGAAUAUGCUUAAAGCCUCUCUCUGAUUUAGCCAAAGCAGGAGAACAUCUAAUAUAACAAAAAUAGCAGGGUGAGGUGUUUUUAUAAUCAUCACGUAGAACUAAAAAGUAUCACUUCCAUACAACCCAGAAUAUAAAAUUAGAUGGAAAAAACAUGCAUGGACUCAACUCUUCAGUAAAAUAAUAGAUGUCUAUUCAAAGCUAUAUGUACUGCUAGCAAAACAUUAUGUUAAAUAAUAGGAAAAAGGAGAUGCCAUAUCAAUGGAUAGAUAUAUGUCUAAGAAUUUUGGCUUAGAGGCCGAUGAUGCAGUGUAUGGAGGCAGUGUUCAUAGGCCUAGAGGCAGCCUUAGAGGCGCCAAAUACUCAUAUUGUAGAUGCCCUUACUACACAGAGCCUAACUAAGAAUGCAAUAACCAGUCCUAGGCUAGUGCCUUUUCCUAUACAUCUUAAAAACUACAGCCACGUCUCCCAUAAUUUAUGGGAUGAUGCAAAUCUGCCACUUGGCCAUCGUUUACACAUUCUUAAAUCCGAGACAUACUUUAAGUCUACAAGAUCCCCAAGUCAGAACAGGGAAACAAAUAUAUGUCCACAGUAGCCAACAAGCGUCGGUGCAUUUCCUAUAUGUUUCCCUCCAUUCCAACUGUAAAUGGUCAAAUCUGGCAUCAUAAUUCAAAACAAUUGAAAGCUAGCUAGCUAUUGCUUUCAAACUUAAUAAAGUAGCUUAAAAACCACAUUGACCUAUGGUGUAAUUAAAUGCGGCUAUCAAUCUUCACAUGUAUGAUGGUGGUUAACUAUGCAGUAUGCAGUAUGGACAAAAAAUUAACCAGCGCACCCUGAGUGCAAAGAAGGAAUCAUCAAGGCGAAAGUAACAAGGGGCAAGGACGAGNNNNNNNNNNNNNNNNNNNNNNNNNNNNNNNNNNNNNNNNNNNNNNNNNNNNNNNNNNNNNNNNNNNNNNNNNNNNNNNNNNNNNNNNNNNNNNNNNNNNNNNNNNNNNNNNNNNNNNNNNNNNNNNNNNNNNNNNNNNNNNNNNNNNNNNNNNNNNNNNNNNNNNNNNNNNNNNNNNNNNNNNNNNNNNNNNNNNNNNNNNNNNNNNNNNNNNNNNNNNNNNNNNNNNNNNNNNNNNNNNNNNNNNNNNNNNNNNNNNNNNNNNNNNNNNNNNGGCACAGAUGCUUUGGCCGGUGGUGUAGCAAGUGCGGCCUACUGCACCCCUGCCCCGUCUUACCUAACUCGCAAAUAUAGAAUAUAUAUCAUAGAUGAAAAUGUAGAGGUGGCAGACUGAUAAAAGAAGUUUAACCAACAUUCAGUAUGACUCAAAGAGUAGAAGAUAUUCUCUCAUUCUUAUAAGAUGUUCUAGCAUUUUCUAAUUUGGAUAUAUAUAGGCACAUUUUAGCUUCUUUGUUCACUCAUUUAUGUCCAUAUUUAGUCCAUAUUGAAAAUUCCAAAACAUGAGAUAUAAGGGAUCAUAUUCACUCAUGCUUUCUUUUAUAUGAUUGAACUCUUCCACAACAAAAUUUAUGGAGUUAAUUAGACGUGCAUCCAUUCAAGCAAUCUAUAUUCCGGAUUGUACCUGGCAGUGAUACAAAGACGACUUGGGAGUGACGUAUUACCGAUGCCGAGGAUGACGGUGAAGCUGACGCCGAUGGUUCAACAUGCCCUCCUCUUCCUAGACAUAGCGCUGUCACGUGAGGCACAGUGAGUAUCAAUUACUAUAAAAAUAUAGUUCAAUUCUAAAUACUCCCAAAGAAUACAGAGAGAGUAAACCAAAUGGAAAAAACCUGCUAAACCGAGUAAACUACUUGAUUGAGUAGAUUAGUCAACGGUUGCCAACCAUAUAACCGAGACAAGUAGUUCAUACAAUACACCAUUUGCUCUUUCUACAGGUAUGUAGCGAAGUGAAGGAAUCUAUAAUAGAGGACAUCACAAUUUAAUUGCAGGACCAAUACACACAAUGCUCUUAAACAGAUAUAUUUAUGUUCAUUUACAAUUUCUCCGUAUGGGCACAUAUAAAACAAACUAUGAAGGAGCUAUGCAGGGAUCAACAACAGGCUACAGGAGUACAUAUAGCCAACAGUCACAUAUAUGAACAUCAAGCCUGCACGAUCAUAACCGGGAUUAACCCAAAAUCAAAUGUCUCAAGCUUUUUCAUACCUUGAAAUCGACAGCAUUAGAGAUAGAGACAUUCAUAUUUGCAUAUGCAAAAACCAAAGAACUAAACAUCAACCGCGUGCAGGGCAGACAUAUACGUGGUUGAAUGAGUUUGUAUUAGGAAACUUGGCGGCCAAGAUGAGUACAUGCACAGGAAAAUGCUCUCAACACUCCAUUGAGUUUCACUACAAAUAAAACUGAAAAAUGCCAUUGAAUCACCAACAGCAGGAUAAUACAUACAACAUGCCUAGGUACGUUGUUGCAACAUACAGUCUUGAUUCAACUUCCUCUAACCUGCCUUCA
RNAcentral lists this long non-coding RNA (6376 nucleotides) under Triticum aestivum (bread wheat). Its description in RNAcentral is "long non-coding RNA (TAES_LNC015631)". Lineage: Eukaryota; Viridiplantae; Streptophyta; Magnoliopsida; Poales; Poaceae. The record is from RNAcentral.